AACAAAUAAAUCAUUUAGAUGAUGAACUGUAAAUUCAUAUUAGAUUAUAUA
Molecule: transfer RNA, 51 nt
Filed under: Oxytate striatipes
Lineage: Eukaryota; Metazoa; Arthropoda; Arachnida; Araneae; Thomisidae
Description: tRNA-Tyr
Source: RNAcentral